RNAcentral lists this ribosomal RNA (23 nucleotides) under Payena maingayi. Its description in RNAcentral is "partial 26S ribosomal RNA". Lineage: Eukaryota; Viridiplantae; Streptophyta; Magnoliopsida; Ericales; Sapotaceae. The record is from RNAcentral.
CUCGGUCGCGACCCCAGGUCAGG